Long non-coding RNA from Haliotis rubra (blacklip abalone), 149 nucleotides. RefSeq lists it as uncharacterized. The record is from RefSeq and is a predicted model, not a curated record. NCBI's taxonomy places the organism in Eukaryota, Metazoa, Mollusca, Gastropoda, Lepetellida, Haliotidae. The transcript has 3 exons.
AUUCACCUUUUUUACAUGAGACUGUACCUCGGUAACAUCAUUACGUACUACGAGUGCCAGGGUGACAUCGAAAAUGCAGAUAAAGCAAUGGACAUGCUCAAUUCUUUAAAACAACCUUUGCAGCAGCCCACCAUUAAAGACUACUUUUG